Molecule: ribosomal RNA, 274 nt
Filed under: uncultured bacterium
Lineage: Bacteria
Description: partial 16S ribosomal RNA
Rfam family: Bacterial small subunit ribosomal RNA
Source: RNAcentral
AUACGGAGGGUGCAAGCGUUAUCCGGAUUCAUCGGGUUUAAAGGGUACGUAGGCGGAUAGAUAAGUUAGUGGUGAAAUCCCGAAGCUCAACUUCGGAACUGCCAUUAAAACUGUCUAUCUUGAAUUUGGUUGAAGUGGGCGGAAUAUGACAUGUAGCGGUGAAAUGCAUAGAUAUGUCAUGGAACACCGAUAGUGAAGACAGCUCACUAAGCCAAUAUUGACGCUGAGGUACGAAAGCAUGGGUAGCGAACAGGAUUAGAUACCCUAGUAGUCC